UGGUCACUCAGUUUGUCCAGGGUUGU
RNAcentral lists this non-coding RNA (26 nucleotides) under Homo sapiens (human). Lineage: Eukaryota; Metazoa; Chordata; Mammalia; Primates; Hominidae. The record is from RNAcentral.